This is a small nuclear RNA of Nycticebus coucang (slow loris), 108 nucleotides long. NCBI's taxonomy places the organism in Eukaryota, Metazoa, Chordata, Mammalia, Primates, Lorisidae. The record is from RefSeq and is a predicted model, not a curated record.
GGAUGCUCGCUACUGCAAUACAUACACUAAAAUUAGAAAAUAUAGAAACAAUUAGUAUGGCCCCUGUCCAAGGAUGACACACAAAUUUGUGAAGCGUUCCAUAUUUUU